GCCGGACCAGCUCUCCCCGUCAGCUCCAGGCUCUCGAAUGACAGCGGAUGCCAGCGACCGGGGAUGGGGUCCCGGAAUUGCUGGGUUAAACAAGGGGAGGGACCCAGAGCUGGAGGCUUAGCCCUGGAGAUACCGGUGAAGAUGGAUGAAUGAGAAACCAGUUGGAGCUUCCAAGGCCUGUCGUCCAUCAGGAGAAGCAAAAGGUUUUAUUCUAGAGACAAGUCCUUCCAACUGUACAGCUGAUGGAGUGGCCAAGGAAACCUGGUAUGGACCCUUUCAUUUCUCAGUGAACUGAGCCUCUGGGCUUCCUUUUCGCCAUGUCUUGAGUAGGACCUGUGCACCUGGGCUAGCAGGGAAAUGAUCUGAAACUCCAUGACCCGGCUGAGGUCACAUCUUAUUAUCAUAUUGGAAGAUGGCCUGCUGAACUUGUCCCAAGUUAAUGAUGUCUUUUACAGCCUGAUUUAACUCUUCGUCUAGAAGAAAGUGGCUAGGAAGAGGCUAGCAACAGGAGGAGUGGGUUGGGCAGAUUCAUUCUGUCCCAGCUUCCUAGGAUGGAA
This 557-nucleotide long non-coding RNA is filed under the name Pan troglodytes (chimpanzee). Its description in RNAcentral is "long non-coding RNA NONPTRT017285". The record is from RNAcentral. Lineage: Eukaryota; Metazoa; Chordata; Mammalia; Primates; Hominidae.